This 1695-nucleotide long non-coding RNA is filed under the name Salmo salar (Atlantic salmon). Its description in RNAcentral is "lncRNA (ENSSSAG00000103512.1)". The record is from RNAcentral. Lineage: Eukaryota; Metazoa; Chordata; Actinopteri; Salmoniformes; Salmonidae.
UGAUCCUGGACUAGACUAGAGUCUGGUCUGGAUACUGUGAGUACCACACACUAGCUUUACUGACCCUGGACUAGACAAGAGUCUGGUCUGGAUACUGUGAGUACCACACGCUAGUAAUUACACUAGCUUUGCUGAUCCUGAACUACACAAGAGUCUGGUCUGGAUACUGUGAGUACCACACACUAGCUUUACUGAUCCUGGACUAGACAAGAGUGUGGUCUGGAUACUGUGAGUACCACACACUAGUAAUUACACUAGCUUUACUGAUCCUGGACUAGACAAGAGUCUGGAUACUGUGAGUACCACACACUAGUAAUUACACUAGAUUUACUGACCCUGGACUAGACAAGAGUCUGGUCUGGAUACUGUGAGUACCACACACUAGCUUUACUGAUCCUGAACUACACACGAGUCUGGUCUGGAUACUGUGAGUACCACACACUAGUAAUUACACUAGAUUUACUGAUCCUGAACUACACAAGAGUCUGGUCUGGAUAGUGUGAGUACCACACACUAGUAAUUACACUAGCAUUACUGAGCCUGGACUAGACAAGAGUCUGGUCUGGAUACUGUGAGUACCACACACUAGUAAUUACACUAGCUUUACUGAUCCUGGACUAGACAAGAGUCUGGUCUGGAUACUGUGAGUACCACACACUAGUAAUUACACUAGCUUUACUGACCCUGGACUACACAAGAGUCUGGUCUGGAUACUGUGAGUACCACACACUAGCUUUACUGACCCUGGACUAGACAAGAGUCUGGUCUGGAUACUGUGAGUACCACACACUAGUAAUUACACUAGCUUUACUGAUCCUGGACUAGACAAGAGUCUGGUCUGGAUACUGUGAGUACCACACGCUAGUUUUACUGACCCUGGACUAGACAAGAGUCUGGUCUGGAUACUGUGAGUACCACACACUUGUUUUACUGACCCUGGACUAGACGAGUCUGGUCUGGAUACUGUGAGUACCACACACUUGUUUUACUGACCCUGGACUAGACGAGUCUGGUCUGGAUACUGUGAGUACCACACACAAUUAAUUACACUAGCUUCACUGAUCCUGGACCACACAAGAGUCUGGUCUGGAUACUGUGAGUACCACACGCUAGCUUUACUGAUCCUGGACUAGACAAGAGUCUGGUCUGGAUACUGUGAGUACCACACACUAGCUUUACUGACCCUGGACUAGACAAGAGUCUGGUCUGGAUACUGUGAGUACCACACACUAGUAAUUACACUAGCUUUACUGACCCUGGACUACACAAGAGUCUGGUCUGGAUACUGUGAGUACCACACACUUGUUUUACUGACCCUGGACUAGACAAGAGUCUGGUCUGGAUACUGUGAGUACCACACACUUGUUUUACUGACCCUGGACUAGACGAGUCUGGUCUGGAUACUGUGAGUACCACACACUAGUAAUUACACUAGCUUUACUGAUCCUGGACUACACAAGAGUCUGGUCUGGAUACUGUGAGUACCACACGCUAGCUUUACUGAUCCUGGACUAGACAAGAGUCUGGUCUGGAUACUGUGAGUACCACACACUAGUAAUUACACUAGCUUUACUGAUCCUGGACUAGACAAGAGUCUGGUCUGGAUACUGUGAGUACCACACACUAGCUUUACUGACCCUGGACUAGACUAGAGUCUGGUCUGGAUACUGUGAGUACCACACGCUAGCUUUACUG